Molecule: ribosomal RNA, 440 nt
Filed under: uncultured bacterium
Lineage: Bacteria
Description: partial 16S ribosomal RNA
Rfam family: Bacterial small subunit ribosomal RNA
Source: RNAcentral
CCUACGGGUGGCAGCAGUAGGGAAUUUUUCACAAUGGGGGAAACCCUGAUGCAGCGACGCCGCGUGGGUGAAGAAGCGCCUCGGCGCGUAAAGCCCUGUCAGCAGGGAAGAAAAUGACGGUACCUGAAGAAGAAGCCCCGGCUAACUACGUGCCAGCAGCCGCGGUAAUACGUAGGGGGCAAGCGUUAUCCGGAUUUACUGGGUGUAAAGGGGGCGCAGACGGUGAUGCAAGCCAGGAGUGAAAGCCCGGGGCCCAACCCCGGGACUGCACUUGGAACUGCGUGGCUAGAGUGCAGGAGGGGCAGGCGGAAUUCCUGGUGUAGCGGUGAAAUGCGUAGAUAUCAGGAGGAACACCGGUGGCGAAGGCGGCCUGCUGGACUGCAACUGACGUUGAGGCCCGAAAGCGUGGGGAGCAAACAGGAUUAGAUACCCGGGUAGUC